AUCUACGGCCACGCCACACUGACCACGCCCGGUCCCGUCCGAGCGGAAGCUAAGCAGGGUCGGGCCUGGUUAGUACUUGGAUGGGAGACGGCGAUGACGGGCUGCGCGUCUGCC
RNAcentral lists this ribosomal RNA (114 nucleotides) under Pteropus vampyrus (large flying fox). Lineage: Eukaryota; Metazoa; Chordata; Mammalia; Chiroptera; Pteropodidae. The record is from RNAcentral.